Molecule: ribosomal RNA, 429 nt
Filed under: Actinomycetes bacterium
Lineage: Bacteria; Bacillati; Actinomycetota; Actinomycetes
Description: Actinobacteria bacterium partial 16S ribosomal RNA
Rfam family: Bacterial small subunit ribosomal RNA
Source: RNAcentral
UAGGGAAUCUUCCGCAAUGGGCGAAAGCCUGACGGAGCAACGCCGCGUGAGUGAUGAAGGUCUUUGGAUCGUAAAACUCUGUUAUUAGGGAAGAACAAAUGUGUAAGUAACUAUGCACGUCUUGACGGUACCUAAUCAGAAAGCCACGGCUAACUACGUGCCAGCAGCCGCGGUAAUACGUAGGUGGCAAGCGUUAUCCGGAAUUAUUGGGCGUAAAGCGCGCGUAGGCGGUUUUUUAAGUCAGAUGUGAAAGCCCACGGCUCAACCGUGGAGGGUCAUUGGAAACUGGAAAACUUGAGUGCAGUAGAGGAAAGUGGAAUGCCAUGUGUAGCGGUGAAAUGCGCAGAGUUAUGGAGGUACACCCGUGGCGAAGGCGACUUUCUGGUCUGUAACUGACGAUAAUGUGCGAAAGCGUGGGGAUCAAACAGG